UACGGAGGGUGCAAGCGUUAUCCGGAUUUACUGGGUUUAAAGGGUGUGUAGGCGGGCUUUUAAGUCAGUGGUGAAAUCUCCGGGCUCAACCUGGAAACUGCCAUUGAUACUAUUAGUCUUGAAUUGUGUUGAGGUAGGCGGAAUAAGUCAUGUAGCGGUGAAAUGCAUAGAUAUGACUUAGAACACCAAUUGCGAAGGCAGCUUGCUAAACAAAUAUUGACGCUGAGGCACGAAAGCGUGGGGAUCAAACAGG
Molecule: ribosomal RNA, 253 nt
Filed under: uncultured bacterium
Lineage: Bacteria
Description: partial 16S ribosomal RNA
Rfam family: Bacterial small subunit ribosomal RNA
Source: RNAcentral